Anolis carolinensis (green anole) is the source of this 119-nucleotide ribosomal RNA. The record is from Rfam. Lineage: Eukaryota; Metazoa; Chordata; Lepidosauria; Squamata; Anolidae.
GUGAGGGAUGUAAAUACCCUAGAGGCACCAUAUCCCAUAUGAUCUUGGAAGUUAAGAAGAAUUAUUCCUGGUUAGUGCUUGGGUAGGAGACUGCCAAUGAAUCCCAGAUGCUUUAAGCU